RNAcentral lists this ribosomal RNA (505 nucleotides) under uncultured bacterium. Its description in RNAcentral is "bacterial SSU rRNA". It matches the Rfam family "Bacterial small subunit ribosomal RNA", at positions 19 to 518 of the family's 1533-position model. The record is from RNAcentral.
CUGGCUCAGGAUGAACGCUAGCGGCAGGCUUAACACAUGCAAGUCGAGGGGCAACGCGAGUAGCAAUACUUGGCGGCGACCGGCGCAAGGGUGCGUAACGGCGUGAGCAACAUGCCCGUAUCAGGGGGAUAAUCCAGGGAAACUUGGUCUAAUACCCCAUAGUAAUUUUGUAAGGCAUCUUAUAAGAUUUAAAGCUUUGGUGGAUACGGAUUGGCUCGCGUGACAUUAGCUGGAUGGUAAGGUAACGGCUUACCAUGGCUAUGAUGUCUAGGGGUUCUGAGAGGAAGGUCCCCCACACUGGAACUGAGACACGGUCCAGACUCCUACGGGAGGCAGCAGUGAGGAAUAUUGGACAAUGGAUGGAAAUCUGAUCCAGCCAUGCCGCGUGAAGGAAGAAGGUCCUAUGGAUUGUAAACUUCUUUUGUAUGGGAGCAAUAAGGCCUACGAGUAGGUUGAUGAGAGUACCAUACGAAUAAGCACCGGCUAACUCCGUGCCAGCCGCCGC